RNAcentral lists this ribosomal RNA (446 nucleotides) under uncultured bacterium. Its description in RNAcentral is "partial 16S ribosomal RNA". It matches the Rfam family "Bacterial small subunit ribosomal RNA", at positions 338 to 795 of the family's 1533-position model. The record is from RNAcentral.
CCUACGGGUGGCAGCAGUCGAGAAUCAUUCACAAUGGGGGAAACCCUGAUGCUGCGACGCCGCGUGGGGGAAUGAAGGUCUUCGGAUUGUAAACCCCUGUCAUGUGGGAGCAAAUUAAAAAGUAAGUACCACAUGAGGCAGAGACGGCUACCUCUGUGCAAGCAGCCGCGGUAAUACAUAGGUGUCAAGCGUUGUUCGGAUUCACUGGGCGUAACGCGCGCGUAGGCUGUUACGUAAGUCGUGUGUGAAAGGCGCCGGCUCAACCGGCGGACGGCACAUGAGACUGCGAGACUAGAGUAAUGGAGGGGGAAUCGGAAUUCUCGGUGUAGCAGUGAAAUGCGUAGAUAUCGGGAGGAACACUCGUGGCGAAGGCGGGUGCCUGGACAUUAACUGACGCUGAGGCGCGAAGGCCAGGGGAGCGAAAGGGAUUAGAUACCCUUGUAGUC